ACAAGGUUCCGUAGGGACCGNGGAAGAUCAUUGUUGAU
Molecule: ribosomal RNA, 38 nt
Filed under: Piper fimbriulatum
Lineage: Eukaryota; Viridiplantae; Streptophyta; Magnoliopsida; Piperales; Piperaceae
Description: partial 18S ribosomal RNA
Source: RNAcentral